CAGCCACAUCACAUUGAAACAUUAGUUUCCAUAUGAUCGCCAAAGUUAAGCAACGUUGAGCCUGGUCAGUACCUAGAUGAGUGACCGCUUGGGAAUACGAGGUGCUGUA
Acanthosepion pharaonis is the source of this 109-nucleotide non-coding RNA. The record is from the annotation of a GenBank genome assembly. Lineage: Eukaryota; Metazoa; Mollusca; Cephalopoda; Sepiida; Sepiidae.